GCCCUAAGCUUAGUGAUAGAGCAUCUGCCUCACAUAUAGAAUGUCCUAGGUUUAAUCCUUGGCAUCUGCA
Molecule: non-coding RNA, 70 nt
Organism: Podarcis lilfordi (Lilford's wall lizard)
Lineage: Eukaryota; Metazoa; Chordata; Lepidosauria; Squamata; Lacertidae
Source: the annotation of a GenBank genome assembly